This 1073-nucleotide long non-coding RNA is filed under the name Olea europaea (common olive). Its description in RNAcentral is "long non-coding RNA (OEUR_LNC010515)". Lineage: Eukaryota; Viridiplantae; Streptophyta; Magnoliopsida; Lamiales; Oleaceae. The record is from RNAcentral.
UCGAAUUUGCAAGUAUUAUCCAAGUUUAUAAGAACAAAUAAUUAUGUAAAACACACUUAUUACUUCCUUUGAUGUCAAAGGAAGGAAGGAAGACUGCUGGAAGAAGAUCUUUUGAGCAAUGAUGAUAAAGAAGUUACAAAAGGGCUGCAAAUUCCAAAUCUUGUAACCCUAACUAUCAAAAAUAAAACGUGAUGGCUCAAUUCCAUAAUUUCUAUAAGUUCGAAACCUUGGUCACAAUCCCCCCUCCCACAAAAAAAUAAUGAUGAUGAUAAUAAUAAAUUCUAAUGUUCGGUGGUUAUUGCUACGUCAAAGUUCAUGAUAUCUACUCGCCAGGCAACAAACGUUUAAAAAUUAAUAAAAGAUUAUAAAAAUGCCUAUGAUUUUUCAACAAUCAUACUACUUGUACAAUGUAUUUUACAAUUUAGUUUACAAUGCAUGACUUGGCAAACUUCAUAUCCAUCUAUUUAAAAAACUAUUUUUAAAAUCAAAGGUCAGGAUUUUUCCAACACACAUGUUGUCAAUCAAGUUGUGCAAAUACAUUGUACAAAUGACUUAUUCAUUUUUCAAGGGCCUAAAAAAAGAACUAUCCAUCCGUAGUAGCAAAUACGUAUAAUAGGGCCAUAAAUUUACAAAUGUUACACCAGAAACAAAUAAUCACAAAACUUCACAUAUAUAACAGUAGAAUGGCGUGUGGCAGUAAAUCACAAAGAUCAGACAAAAUAAGAAUAUUGCAUCUAUACAUAUUGAUUCAUUCUUCUAAUUUUCUGACAAAGGUUUACAUAUAUAAUGAGGAUAUGGAAAUUUAAUUGGGUUGUUUAAUAUAUGCUAUGCAUGUUGAAAGUAAUAUAAACUUGACCAAGUGAACUCUAGAAAUAAAAGGAAGCUCAAAGAUAUCAAGAUGAUGACUUAGUCAAAGUGUAACUUGAUUAAGCAAAAGUUUUUAUUGGGUAGAAGAAUUUUAGACGGUGAAGGAAAAGCUCGUCAUUGGCCGAUAGUUUUUAAAGAAGUUACUUAACCAUUUUGAACUCUUCUUCUAAAGGAGGUAGAAGUUACUUAAGCAUCUUGAACUCUCC